GGCGUACGGCCUUCUUAUAAAUGCAAGUCGAGCGACAGAUGAGAAGCUUGCUUCUCUGAUGUUAGCGGCGGACGGGUGAGUAACACGUGGGUAACCUACCUAUAAGACUGGGAUAACUCCGGGAAACCGGGGCUAAUACCGGAUAAUAUUUUGAACCGCAUGGUUCAAUAGUGAAAGACGGUUUCGGCUGUCACUUAUAGAUGGACCCGCGCCGUAUUAGCUAGUUGGUAAGGUAACGGCUUACCAAGGCGACGAUACGUAGCCGACCUGAGAGGGUGAUCGGCCACACUGGAACUGAGACACGGUCCAGACUCCUACGGGAGGCAGCAGUAGGGAAUCUUCCGCAAUGGGCGAAAGCCUGACGGAGCAACGCCGCGUGAGUGAUGAAGGUCUUCGGAUCGUAAAACUCUGUUGUUAGGGAAGAACAAAUUUGUUAGUAACUGAACAAGUCUUGACGGUACCUAACCAGAAAGCCACGGCUAACUACGUGCCAGCAGCCGCGGUAAUACGUAGGUGGCAAGCGUUAUCCGGAAUUAUUGGGCGUAAAGCGCGCGUAGGCGGUUUCUUAAGUCUGAUGUGAAAGCCCACGGCUCAACCGUGGAGGGUCAUUGGAAACUGGGAAAACUUGAGUGCAGAAGAGGAGAGUGGAAUUCCAUGUGUAGCGGUGAAAUGCGCAGAGAUAUGGAGGAACACCCAGUGGCGAAGGCGGCUCUCUGGUCUGUAACUGACGCUGAUGUGCGAAAAGCGUGGGGAUUCAACAGGAUUAGAUACCCUUGGUAGUCCCACGCCCUAAACCGAUUGAGUGCCUAAGUGUUAUGGGGGUUUUCCGCCCCAUAAUUGCUGCAGCUAACGUCAUUUAAUCCAUUCCGCCUGGGGGAGUUCCUAACCGC
This 890-nucleotide ribosomal RNA is filed under the name Mammaliicoccus sciuri. RNAcentral describes it as "bacterial SSU rRNA". It matches the Rfam family "Bacterial small subunit ribosomal RNA", at positions 38 to 889 of the family's 1533-position model. The record is from RNAcentral. Lineage: Bacteria; Bacillati; Bacillota; Bacilli; Caryophanales; Staphylococcaceae.